This 72-nucleotide transfer RNA is filed under the name Phintella cavaleriei. Its description in RNAcentral is "tRNA-Asp". The record is from RNAcentral. Lineage: Eukaryota; Metazoa; Arthropoda; Arachnida; Araneae; Salticidae.
AAUAAGGUAGUUAAAUUAAUAUUAAUUUGUCAAAUUAAAGAUGUAAAUAUUCCACAAAUAAUACCUAUAUUU